GAUGAACGCUGACAGGAUGCUUAACACAUGCAAGUCUACUUGAACUUCGGUUUGGGUGGCGGACGGGUGAGUAACGCGUAAAGAACUUGCCUCACUGUUAGGGACAACAUUUGGAAACGAAUGCUAAUACCUAAUAUUAUGAUUUUAGGGCAUCCUAAGAUUAUGAAAGCUACAUGCACUGUGAGAGAGCUUUGCGUCCCAUUAGCUAGUUGGAGAGGUAACGGCUCACCAAGGCGAUGAUGGGUAGCCGGCCUGAGAGGGUGAACGGCCACAAGGGGACUGAGACACGGCCCUUACUCCUACGGGAGGCAGCAGUGGGGAAUAUUGGACAAUGGACCAAGAGUCUGAUCCAGCAAUUCUGUGUGCACGAUGAAGUUUUUCGGAAUGUAAAGUGCUUUCAGUUGGGAAGAAAAAAAUGACGGUACCAACAGAAGAAGUGACGGCUAAAUA
This 450-nucleotide ribosomal RNA is filed under the name Fusobacterium periodonticum. RNAcentral's name for it is "bacterial SSU rRNA". It matches the Rfam family "Bacterial small subunit ribosomal RNA", at positions 28 to 503 of the family's 1533-position model. The record is from RNAcentral. Lineage: Bacteria; Fusobacteriati; Fusobacteriota; Fusobacteriia; Fusobacteriales; Fusobacteriaceae.